GUGCUUGACGCUGCGCUGGAGCCACUGCCCGCUCAUCCGCCUGGGAAACGUGGCGUCCGACUACCCCUUCUGAACUCUGGAGCCAACCUGAACUUUGGCCAGGAAGGUAGCCGCGGGACCGAUUCGCCGUCUCCGAACCGAGUGGCCUGAAGGUCCCGCCCUUUGUCGUGCAAAUGAGGAGGGCGCAGGGGCCCUCGCGGCGGCACCCGCCGGGGCCGAGCUCCCCGUCUGCUGCCUCGUGACUUCUUUUCCAUUGGAGCUCGGGGCGGGGUGGUCGAUCCCUCCGGAGACCCCCUGCUAACGCGGAGGAAUGCUGAGAAAGAACUUGUCCUCAAGAGUCGCCAGUGCUCCGGACCUGGUAAGAGGGGCUUCCAGGCCCUGCCCCCACGCCCCCCACCACGUCCCACUUAGAUUCGCGUUCUGACAGCUUCACGCUUUUCCUGACUUCAACGUACCCCUUCUUCAGGCCCUGUGGGCGACAUCUGCCUGUUUGAAGUUAGGCCUCCUCAGACCAUAAUUUUAGGCCAUAAAUGAAACGCCUCAAACUGCAGCAUUGCCGCGAAAUAUUCUGCUAUUGUGAUCAGUUCAUGUGCUGGCCCACUUGGGAGUGAUUUAUUUUGGAAACAAAGGCAAAUUAGUCACCUCACAACAUGGAAAGCCAGGCGUGAGAGUCUUAUGUUUUCAGCUAUUUCAUUGUGAUAAAAACCUGGGCGUGUGUGUGGUUUUUUUGUUGUUAUUGGAUGAAUAUAAGCUUCAGGCUUAACACAUUUCAGUAGACACAUCUGUGGAGAUACAGAAGUAUCACAUAUUUAAUUUAUAUCCUGCUGCAAAUGAAAUUGUAUUACCCACCGCUUAAUGGUUAAAAGGUCAAAAUGUCUUUUCUGAGGGAUGGAUAGAAGUGUGAAAGAGGAGUUCCCGUUGUGGCUCCGUGGGUUAAGAACCUGAUGCAGUGUCGGCGAGGAUGCGGGUUUGAUCCCUGGCCUCGCUCACUGAGUUAAGGAUCCGGCACUGCCGUGGCUAUAGCACAGGCCUCCGCUGUAGCUCCAAUUCAGUCUCUGGCCCAGGAACUUCAUAUGCCGCAGGUGCAGCUGU
RNAcentral lists this long non-coding RNA (1092 nucleotides) under Sus scrofa (pig). RNAcentral's name for it is "lncRNA (ENSSSCG00035032682.1, ENSSSCG00055014330.1, ENSSSCG00065062590.1)". Lineage: Eukaryota; Metazoa; Chordata; Mammalia; Artiodactyla; Suidae. The record is from RNAcentral.